Molecule: ribosomal RNA, 116 nt
Filed under: Curtobacterium sp. Leaf261
Lineage: Bacteria; Bacillati; Actinomycetota; Actinomycetes; Micrococcales; Microbacteriaceae
Source: RNAcentral
UCCGGUGGUUAUAGCGUGAGGGAAACGCCCGGUCACAUUCCGAACCCGGAAGCUAAGCCUCACAGCGCCGAUGGUACUGCAAGGGGGACCUUGUGGGAGAGUAGGACCGGCUGCGC